Molecule: long non-coding RNA, 724 nt
Filed under: Triticum aestivum (bread wheat)
Lineage: Eukaryota; Viridiplantae; Streptophyta; Magnoliopsida; Poales; Poaceae
Description: long non-coding RNA (TAES_LNC024125)
Source: RNAcentral
UUUUCGACCAACUUUCGUGCACUGGAGCAUGUGCUUGUAGUUCAAAUUUGAAUUAUGCACAUUAAAUGACCAUAAACUCAAUUAAUGUAUUAAAAAAAGGCCAAACGAACCCGGAAUAAUUCCAAAAUUUAACACGACACUCAUAUAGUUCUAUGUUUCCUCUAUAAAGAAAAUCAAGGGGGGCAGCGUAUAUCGUUUCGCACACAAAGGUUCCCUCUUAGAACCACGAGCCUUCUUGAGAGAAGCUCCGGAUUGCAAGAAGCUUAUACCAAAACUUGUUCCAAUUCGGCCAAAAAAAUUACCACAGCAUGUUAGUGCCAUGACAUGACACCAUGCCAAGUUUCAUGAUUUCCAGGCAAGUUUUGGAUUUACAGGAAUUUAAAAACCAAGUUUCUCAAUGUUCUCGACCGAGUCACGACGCCCAGAUGUUUGAAUUUCAUUCCCAUUUCUUGCAUGGGACCUAGAAAUUGACCCAAGGACACACAUGUGAUUUUUCAACCAACUUUGGUGCACUGGAGCAUGUGCUUGUAGUUCAAAUUUGAAUUAUGCACAUUAAAUGUCCAGAAACUCAAUUAAUGUAUAAAAAGGCCAAACGAACCCGGAAUAACUCCAAAAUUUAACAGGGCACUCAUAUCGUUCUAUGUUGCCUUUGUAAAGAAAAUCAGGGGGAGGCAACGUAUAUCGUUUCGCACACAAAGGUGACAUGUUCCCUCUCGGAACCACG